AGAGCAAUCUAGGCAAAGUUCAGU
RNAcentral lists this non-coding RNA (24 nucleotides) under Arabidopsis thaliana (thale cress). The record is from RNAcentral. Lineage: Eukaryota; Viridiplantae; Streptophyta; Magnoliopsida; Brassicales; Brassicaceae.